CUUUUAGAGAUAGAAGUGUUCUCUUCGGAGACAAAGUGACAGGUGGUGCAUGGUCGUCGUCAGCUCGUGUCGUGAGAUGUUGGGUUAAGUCCCGCAACGAGCGCAACCCUUAUUGUUAGUUGCCAGCAUUCAGUUGGGCACUCUAGCGAGACUGCCGGUGACAAACCGGAGGAAGGCGGGGACGACGUCAGAUCAUCAUGCCCCUUAUGACCUGGGCUACACACGUGCUACAAUGGCGUAUACAACGAGUUGCCAAUCUGCGAAGGUGAGCUAAUCUCUUAAAGUACGUCUCAGUUCGGACUGCAGUCUGCAACUCGACUGCACGAAGUCGGAAUCGCUAGUAAUCGCGGAUCAGCACGCCGCGGUGAAUACGUUCCCGGGUCUUGUACACACCGA
Molecule: ribosomal RNA, 396 nt
Filed under: uncultured bacterium
Lineage: Bacteria
Description: bacterial SSU rRNA
Rfam family: Bacterial small subunit ribosomal RNA
Source: RNAcentral